AGAGUAUCAGCGUGGCUUUUUU
This 22-nucleotide microRNA is filed under the name Suid alphaherpesvirus 1. RNAcentral's name for it is "prv-miR-LLT4". Its record names the gene prv-miR-LLT4. The record is from miRBase by way of RNAcentral. Lineage: Duplodnaviria; Heunggongvirae; Peploviricota; Herviviricetes; Herpesvirales; Orthoherpesviridae.